AGGGUCGGGCGCACCGACGGUUCACCGGGGAAUCCACUCCGGUGAGGCAAGAGGGAACCCGGUGCGACUCCGGGACUGCCCCGCAGCGGUGAGUGGGAACGAGAGCCGUCAGACGCACUGGGUGCACACCUGGGAAGCGACGGCCGGUAGGUGCGAGCAGGUCGACGGACCGGCGCGCGAGCCCACGAGUCCGAAGACCUGCCAUCGGUCCGCGCACCGC
RNAcentral lists this non-coding RNA (220 nucleotides) under Actinotalea ferrariae CF5-4. RNAcentral also lists the same sequence under 1 other name. Lineage: Bacteria; Bacillati; Actinomycetota; Actinomycetes; Micrococcales; Cellulomonadaceae. The record is from RNAcentral.